Molecule: ribosomal RNA, 492 nt
Filed under: uncultured bacterium
Lineage: Bacteria
Description: partial 16S ribosomal RNA
Rfam family: Bacterial small subunit ribosomal RNA
Source: RNAcentral
AGUGAACGCUGGCGGUAGGCCUAACACAUGCAAGUCGAACGGCAGCACAGUAAGAGCUUGCUCUUACGGGUGGCGAGUGGCGGACGGGUGAGGAAUGCAUCGGAAUCUACUUUUUCGUGGGGGAUAACGUAGGGAAACUUACGCUAAUACCGCAUACGACCUACGGGUGAAAGCAGGGGAUCUUCGGACCUUGCGCGAUUGAAUGAGCCGAUGUCGGAUUAGCUAGUUGGCGGGGUAAAGGCCCACCAAGGCGACGAUCCGUAGCUGGUCUGAGAGGAUGAUCAGCCACACUGGAACUGAGACACGGUCCAGACUCCUACGGGAGGCAGCAGUGGGGAAUAUUGGACAAUGGGCGCAAGCCUGAUCCAGCCAUACCACGUGGGUGAAGAAGGCCUUCGGGUUGUAAAGCCCUUUUGUUGGGAAAGAAAAGCAGCAGGUUAAUACCCCGCUGUUCUGACGGUACCCAAAGAAUAAGCACCGGCUAACUUCGUG